CCUACGGGGGGCAGCAGUGGGGAAUAUUGCACAAUGGGCGGAAGCCUGAUGCAGCAACGCCGCGUGCGGGAUGACGGCCUUCGGGUUGUAAACCGCUUUCAGUAGGGACGAAGCGCAAGUGACGGUACCUACAGAAGAAGCACCGGCUAACUACGUGCCAGCAGCCGCGGUGAUACGUAGGGUGCGAGCGUUGUCCGGAAUUAUUGGGCGUAAAGAGCUUGUAGGCGGUUGGUUGCGUCGAAAGUGAAAACUCAGGGCUUAACCCUGGGCCUGCUUGCGAUACGGGCAGACUUGAGGAAGGUAGGGGAGAAUGGAAUUCCCGGUGGAGCGGUGGAAUGCGCAGAUAUCGGGAGGAACACCAGUGGCGAAGGCGGUUCUCUGGACCUUUCCUGACGCUGAGAAGCGAAAGCGUGGGGAGCAAACAGGCUUAGAUACCCCUGUAGUC
Molecule: ribosomal RNA, 445 nt
Filed under: uncultured Propionibacteriaceae bacterium
Lineage: Bacteria; Bacillati; Actinomycetota; Actinomycetes; Propionibacteriales; Propionibacteriaceae
Description: bacterial SSU rRNA
Rfam family: Bacterial small subunit ribosomal RNA
Source: RNAcentral